This 424-nucleotide ribosomal RNA is filed under the name uncultured bacterium. RNAcentral's name for it is "bacterial SSU rRNA". It matches the Rfam family "Bacterial small subunit ribosomal RNA", at positions 358 to 774 of the family's 1533-position model. The record is from RNAcentral.
AGGAUCAUUCGCAAUGGGGGAAACCCUGACGAUGCGACGCUGCGUGGAGGAUGAAGGCCUUCGGGUUGUAAACUCCUGUCAUGAUGGAAAAGGAGAGGGGACCCAACACGUCCCUGAUUUGAUGGUACAUCAAGAGGAAGAGACGGCUAACUCUGUGCCAGCAGCCGCGGUAAUACAGAGGUCUCGAGCGUUGUUCGGAUUUACUGGGCGUAAAGGGCGCGUAGGCGGCGCGGCGUGUCGAGUGUGAAAUCUCCGGGCUCAACCCGGAAAGUGCGCUCGAAACUGCCGUGCUCGAGUGCGGGAGAGGGAAUCGGAAUACAGGGUGUAGCGGUGAAAUGAGUUGAUAUCCUGUAGAACACCGGAUGCGAAGGCGGAUUCCUGGAACGCAACUGACGCUGAGGCGCGAAAGUCGGGGGAGCAAACA